UCUCGCUGGCCUGGAAGGUGACGGUGUUGAAUGUGGCCUUUUUGCCUUUUCCAAAGGCCACAUUUUUCACCCUUGCA
RNAcentral lists this microRNA precursor (77 nucleotides) under Chlorocebus sabaeus (green monkey). Its description in RNAcentral is "miRNA (ENSCSAG00000023010.1)". The record is from RNAcentral. Lineage: Eukaryota; Metazoa; Chordata; Mammalia; Primates; Cercopithecidae.